GGCUCAGUGGUCUAGUGGCAUGAUUCUCGCUCCGGGUGCGAGAGGUCCAGAGUUCGAUUCUCUGCUGAGCCC
This is a non-coding RNA of Diplonema papillatum, 72 nucleotides long. Lineage: Eukaryota; Euglenozoa; Diplonemea; Diplonemida; Diplonemidae. The record is from the annotation of a GenBank genome assembly.